UAGUAACGGCGAGUGAAGCGGCAAUAGCUCAAAUUUGAAAUCUACUCUUUUCAAGGGUCGAAUUGUAAUUUGUAGAGGAUGCUUCGGCUUAUGUUUCGGUCUAAGUUCCUUGGAACAGGACGUCAUAGAGGGUGAGAAUCCCGUAUGUGGCCGAGACUUCCGCCAUGUGAAGCUCCUUCGACGAGUCGAGUUGUUUGGGAAUGCAGCUCUAAAUGGGAGGUAUAUUUCUUCUAAAGCUAAAUACUGGCCAGAGACCGAUAGCGCACAAGUAGAGUGAUCGAAAGAUGAAAAGCACUUUGGAAAGAGAGUUAAAAAGUACGUGAAAUUGUUGAAAGGGAAGCGCUUGCGACCAGACUUGCUUACAGAUGCUCAACCGGUCCUUCGGCCGGUGCACUCUUCUGUAAUCAGGCCAGCAUCAGUUCGAGUAGUCAGAUAAAGACUUUGGGAAUGUGGCUCUCUUCGGGGAGUGUUAUAGCCCUUUGUACAAUAUGGCUCACUUGGACUGAGGCCCGCGCUUCGGCUAGGAUGCUGGCGUAAUGGUCGUAAGCGGCCCGUCUUGAAACACGGACCAAGGAGUCUAACAUCUAUGCGAGUGUUUGGGUGUCAAACCCGUGCGCGAAAUGAAAGUGAACGGAGGUGGGAACCUUUGGGUGCACCAUCGACCGAUCCUGAUGUCUUCGGAUGGAUUUGAGUAAGAGCAUAGCUGUUGGGACCCGAAAGGUGAGAAAAUUUUACCCAUCCUAAAAAUGUUAAAAUCAAUUGCUAAUAUGUUUAAAAUAGAUGGUGAACUAUGCCUGAAUAGGGUGAAGCCAGAGGAAACUCUGGUGGAGGCUCGCAGCGGUUCUGACGUGCAAAUCGAUCGUCAAAUUUGGGUAUAGGGGCGAAAGUAAGUUGAUACUUUAAAUCAUUUUAUCAAUUGAAUAUAUAUAACUAACCCACUUUUUAGGACUAAUCGAACCAUUAUUAUUCCUACUAGGUGGUUAAGAGGCAGCUAAAAGUGUCUGUCUAGUCCUUCCAUUCGGGGCAACACCGUCAAAUUGCGGGGACUUCCUUAGAGUCUGAACUACCGCUCAUUAGUCGAAAGAUGUAAUGUAGCACCAGGUUAAUGACCUCGGGUAUGGUAAAAACGUUCAGAAUUGGAUGAUCCGCAGCCAAGUCCUAACCCACUUUUGUUCAAAAAGGUGAUAUGGAUGCAGUUCACAGACUAAAUGUCGGUGGGUAUCGCCUAUUUUAUAAUGGGUUGAUGCUUAAGAUAUAGUCGAUCCCCCAUGGAAACAUGGGCAGUUGGCCAAAGUCUUAUAGGCGGAUGGGUGCCUAAUCUUUAGGCAUGUUUGUAAGACCCGAAGCCAAUUGAGAAGUUUAAUUCUCUCAAAAAAA
Molecule: ribosomal RNA, 1377 nt
Filed under: Tubeufia muriformis
Lineage: Eukaryota; Fungi; Ascomycota; Dothideomycetes; Tubeufiales; Tubeufiaceae
Description: Tubeufia sp. JM-2023c partial large subunit ribosomal RNA
Rfam family: Eukaryotic large subunit ribosomal RNA
Source: RNAcentral